This 257-nucleotide ribosomal RNA is filed under the name uncultured prokaryote. RNAcentral describes it as "partial 16S ribosomal RNA". It matches the Rfam family "Bacterial small subunit ribosomal RNA", at positions 521 to 777 of the family's 1533-position model. The record is from RNAcentral.
UAAUACGGGGGGGGCAAGCGUUGUUCGGAAUUACUGGGCGUAAAGGGUGCGUAGGCGGCUCUCUAAGUCGGAUGUGAAAACUCUGGGCUCAACCCAGAGCCUGCAUCUGAAACUGGAGGGCUAGGGUUCUGGAGGGGAAAGCGGAAUUCCUGGUGUAGCGGUGAAAUGCGUAGAUAUCAGGAGGAACACCGGUGGCGAAGGCGGCUUUCUGGACAGAUACCGACGCUGAGGCACGAAAGCUAGGGGAGCAAACAGGA